Molecule: long non-coding RNA, 1085 nt
Organism: Sinocyclocheilus anshuiensis
Lineage: Eukaryota; Metazoa; Chordata; Actinopteri; Cypriniformes; Cyprinidae
Exons: 2
Source: RefSeq, a predicted model, not a curated record
UCAACAAAACUCUUUAUUUCACUUAUAUAGUUUAUAAAAUCAGCUUGCCUGCUUUGAUGCCAACAUAAAAGGUAUGUGGGACAUUUCUUUGUGUGUGUAUAUACUGUAUAUAUGUGUGAGUGUGUGUAAGUGAAUAUAGGAGUGCUGAUAAGGCAACAUGCAGUCUUCAGUUUUUUUGUGGCUUCAAAAAAAAGAACAGACUGCUAUGUUUGAUAGCUUUGUCCUAGUUACCUACAGCAGACACAAGCCUGGGGUGGAUCUGAACACACCGUUGAGUGACAGGACAAGGGCGGGGUUUGGGUCGCCAUGACGGCAAGGCUAAAUGAAGAUGAAGACGUCAUCUUAUUGGUAAAGAUCUACACUUUAGCAUUCCCUUGAGUCAGCACAGCACAGUGCUACAGAACAGACCAAUAACAAACUUUGCAAUGGUGCUUUAGUAUUGCUUUAACAUUGCGGGCAUCACAAAUUCAUGAUCGCACACUGACUUAACAUGCAUUGCAACAAAAUCAGGACAAAACAGGAUGUGUUUGAAGAUUUGAUCUCUUUCUAUAACAUUCAAAGGCUCCUUGUCCUAGCAGCCGAAGGAUUCAACACCCUUUUUCAACGCAAACCUCAUUCAAGCCCAAAUCUCAUGUGUACAAGCUAAUGAAGAAAUGCAAGUCUAGCACAGCUACAUCAAAACGGAUAAUCGUGUAUCUAUGUAUACAGUAUGCGUUCACAUUUUGUGAAUAAACAUAUUUGUUCGUACUCUAACAAAUCACAUGGUAAGUCUAUUGGUCAAGCACACAGUAACUCCAUUCUGCACACAUACUGAACUAAAGGAAUGUAAUAUAUCUCUUAAUGUACACACAACUUAUUGUGUACAUUGCAGCAUUCUCAAGACUAAAUAAAUUGAAACAUGGCUAUGAUCUCACAAAGAUCCAGACACACAUUGCUACAUGCCCUGAUGAAAUGAGAUGUAUUGCUUUUCUUACAUUACUGGUCAUGCAGGUUUCUUUUUUUUUUUCUUUCAGCCAUGCUCCUAAAAGACCACUUCAACCUCUGAUAUCAGCCACUGGGCUUCACGGUUCCUGUCCAUGUAUGAG